Molecule: long non-coding RNA, 1960 nt
Filed under: Anser brachyrhynchus (Pink-footed goose)
Lineage: Eukaryota; Metazoa; Chordata; Aves; Anseriformes; Anatidae
Description: lncRNA (ENSABRG00000001052.1)
Source: RNAcentral
AUGGAGGGACCUGCCUCAGUGAUGUGCUUGAGAACUUGCUACAUAAAAGACUGUAAAGCAUUUAAUUUCAGUGAAAAUCCAGCUGCUCCGGGACAAUCUCAUCUCUCCAGGAACUGCGCUUGCUCUCGUAAGACGAUGAAAAAAAAGCGGUCAAACAGUGUUAGCAUGUGUACCUUGCCCAUCAUCCCAGAGUACCCAGGCUUCCAAGACAUUAAGUUAUCAAGAAAUAACUCAGAAACUCCAUCCUUCAACCAACUUUUCCAGGAUUUGGAAGGAAAGAGCUCUUCAUCACAGCUGAACAGCUUUCCAAACAAAGCUUCAUUACCCCAUUGCUUGGGGAGCUCUUCAAGAGGCUACUUGAAAGGCAACCCAGCAACCAGCAGUGGCUUCCGUGACAAACCACUGCAGGAGUAUUUCAACGAGAGGCUAAUGGAGCUCAGGAACUAUGAAAGUAAGAGGUCCAAUAGGAAGACGAAAGGAUUUGCUGACAAGAACCAGAACCCCUUCCUCACCCGCAGAGGAUCUCGGCGCAGAAGUAGCUGCAGUGCUGUGGUAAUGAUUGGGUGUAGCACGGAGACAGAAGAAUCCUGCAGCUCAGCAAACCAAGACAACAAGAAAGUGAUGGAGCGUAGUGAUCCAAAGGAAACCCAGAAUGUCCUGGACCUCUACAAGGGUGACUUCUUGGACAUUUUAACAAUGCACAUAGCUGCUCCCCUAGAAGCGUUAGUGCAAAAAAAAUAACACUGGAGCUGUUUACAGCUACUCCUACAGGCCUCAAAAUGCAGAAUUGUUCCUGCUCAGCACUGUUCUGACUUAAGUAGCUCAUGUGUGUUAGUUCAUUCUGACACAGAAAUAUGUUUGUUUGUGGGACAAAAUGUACUCUCGUAUUGUGUUCUUGAUUGACAUUACAUAUUUUUAUUUUCAAUUAUUUUCCUCAAAGAAUCAGUGAAAUUGUGAAAUAGUCUUAAAUUACUAUACACAGAGAACAGUGUUUGAAAUGCAUGCACAUAUUAUUGAAUUCUUAAGUUGCCUUAAAAAAAAACGUGAUUAUCAUCAGUGGAACAGAUUGGUUUCUUACUGGUAAUGUGCAUUUUCUGUUAGCUAAUCUGAAAAAACACUGUUGUGUCCUGUCAAUUUACUUUACUUGUUUUAAGGCUUGCUUUUUUAUCAUAUCACUUCAACCCAUUUCAUUUCUGGUGAUGUUUUGUAUGGAUGCAAAUACUUGAUGAGAAAUGAUUGAUUUUCUUUUGUGGCCACAUGUUGUAAUCACCAGGUGGAUCAUUGUAGCAGUGUCUGGUGCAUGGAAAAGCAAAGACAGAUGUAAGUUUUAUUUUUAAAUCUGAUCAGCCAUUAUGGUUUCAUGUGCAGGCUCACAAACCUUUAAAAAGAACUACAAGGACAAAGAGGAAAGAAAGCUGCAUUUAAGUGAGAAUUAUGGAAGUAACUAUGAGGGUAGGAUCCUUCCCACUUUCCUGCUGUAAAUAUGAGGACAACAUAGCAAAUUCUCAAUGUAAUCUGAGCUUCAAAUUGUUUAUUGUAUUUUAGUGCUUAUAGUGGUUAUUUAAGUAUACAACACCAGCUGCAGCUACAUUUUUCAAUUACACGAAAUGUCAAUGUUUAAUUCUACAGAGCACUGACCAAGGACCAGGCCCAAAGCAGGGUAACUAUUUCAAGCUUCUAAAAAGCACUACUACUGCCUGUAGUAUAAUUAGCAAUAAGUUUAUCAUUACAGUGUUAGUUUGAGCUGAUGCUUCUUUCUUCACUUUCAGAUUUUUCAAUAUGAGUUAACAAGUAAGCGGAGCUGGAAAAAUUAGGUAAUGAAUGUAUCAAUUUGCAAAGUCCAAAUAGCAGAAUAGAGCAGUAGCUGGGCUGGCAGCAGCAGCUUUCUGCCAAGACCCAAGCACAAAACCCUGUCUGCAGAUGUGUACAUUAAUAAAAGUAGUUUUGGCUGAUGGGGACA